Molecule: ribosomal RNA, 285 nt
Filed under: uncultured bacterium
Lineage: Bacteria
Description: partial 16S ribosomal RNA
Rfam family: Bacterial small subunit ribosomal RNA
Source: RNAcentral
ACGUCCUACGGGGGGCAGUAGUGGGGAAUAUUGGGCAAUGGGCGCAAGCCUGACCCAGCAACGCCGCGUGAAGGAAGAAGGCUUUCGGGUUGUAAACUUCUUUUCUCGGGGACGAAGAAAGUGACGGUACCUGAGGAAUAAGCCACGGCUAACUACGUGCCAGCAGCCGCGGUAAUACGUAGGUGGCAAGCGUUAUCCGGAUUUAUUGGGUGUAAAGGGCGUGUAGGCGGGAGCGCAAGUCAGACGUGAAAACUCAGGGCUCAACCCUGAGCCUGCCUUUGAAAC